GGUUAAGCGACUAAGCGUACACGGUGGAUGCCCUGGCAGUCAGAGGCGAUGAAGGACGUGCUAAUCUGCGAUAAGCGUCGGUAAGGUGAUAUGAACCGUUAUAACCGGCGAUUUCCGAAUGGGGAAACCCAGUGUGUUUCGACACACUAUCAUUAACUGAAUCCAUAGGUUAAUGAGGCGAACCGGGGGAACUGAAACAUCUAAGUACCCCGAGGAAAAGAAAUCAACCGAGAUUCCCCCAGUAGCGGCGAGCGAACGGGGAGGAGCCCAGAGCCUGAAUCAGUGUGUGUGUUAGUGGAAGCGUCUGGAAAGGCGCGCGAUACAGGGUGACAGCCCCGUACACAAAAAUGCACAUACUGUGAGCUCGAUGAGUAGGGCGGGACACGUGGUAUCCUGUCUGAAUAUGGGGGGACCAUCCUCCAAGGCUAAAUACUCCUGACUGACCGAUAGUGAACCAGUACCGUGAGGGAAAGGCGAAAAGAACCCCGGCGAGGGGAGUGAAAAAGAACCUGAAACCGUGUACGUACAAGCAGUGGGAGCCUC
This 543-nucleotide ribosomal RNA is filed under the name Escherichia coli. Its description in RNAcentral is "partial 23S ribosomal RNA". It matches the Rfam family "Bacterial large subunit ribosomal RNA", at positions 1 to 583 of the family's 2925-position model. The record is from RNAcentral. Lineage: Bacteria; Pseudomonadati; Pseudomonadota; Gammaproteobacteria; Enterobacterales; Enterobacteriaceae.